RNAcentral lists this ribosomal RNA (353 nucleotides) under Deltaproteobacteria bacterium. Its description in RNAcentral is "bacterial SSU rRNA". It matches the Rfam family "Bacterial small subunit ribosomal RNA", at positions 1 to 340 of the family's 1533-position model. The record is from RNAcentral. Lineage: Bacteria; Pseudomonadati; Myxococcota; Myxococcia.
UAACUGGAGAGUUUGAUCCUGGCUCAGAACGAACGCUGGCGGCGUGCCUAACACAUGCAAGUCGAACGCGAAAGGGGCUUCGGCCCUGAGUAAAGUGGCGCACGGGUGAGUAACACGUGGAUAAUCUACCCGACGAUCCGGGGCAACAUUCCGAAAGGGGUGCUAAUACCGGAUAAGCCCACGCAUCCUUCGGGAUAUGCGGGAAAAGGUGGGGACCUUCGGGCCUACUGUCAUCGGAUGAGUCCGCGUCCCAUUAGCUAGUUGGCAGGGUAAUGGCCUACCAAGGCGACGAUGGGUAGCUGGUCUGAGAGGAUGAUCAGCCACACUGGAACUGAGACACGGUCCAGACUCCU